Molecule: ribosomal RNA, 252 nt
Filed under: uncultured bacterium
Lineage: Bacteria
Description: partial 16S ribosomal RNA
Rfam family: Bacterial small subunit ribosomal RNA
Source: RNAcentral
GACGGAGGGGGCUAGCGUUGUUCGGAAUGACUGGGCGUAAAGGGCGUGUAGGCGGUUAAAUAAGUGAGGCGUGAAAGCCCUGGGCUUAACCCAGGAGGUGCGUUUCAUACUGUUUGACUUGAGUACGAGAGAGGAAAGUGGAAUUCCUAGUGUAGAGGUGAAAUUCGUAGAUAUUAGGAAGAACACCAGUGGCGAAGGCGCUUUCUGGCUCGUAACUGACGCUGAGGCGCGAAAGCGUGGGGAGCAAACAGG